GAAAUGCGAUAAGUAGUGUGAAUUGCAGAAUUCAGUGAAUCAUCGAAUCUUUGAACGCACAUUGCGCCCCUUGGUAUUCCAUGGGGCAUGCCUGUUCGAGCGUCAUCUGUACCCUCAAGCUCUGCUUGGUGUUGGGUGUUUGUCCCCGUCUCCGCGCGUGGACUCGCCCCAAAGUGAUUGGCAGCCGGCGUACUGGUCCCGGAGCGCAGCACAUGUCGCGCAAACGAGUGCCUUGGUACGGCGGCGUCCAUAAGCCCCUCUCUCACGCUCUUGACCUCGGAUCAGGUAGGGAUACCCGCUGAACUUAAGC
This 310-nucleotide unclassified non-coding RNA is filed under the name plant metagenome. Its description in RNAcentral is "partial contains 5.8S ribosomal RNA, internal transcribed spacer 2, and large subunit ribosomal RNA". The stretch from base 1 to 105 matches the Rfam family "5.8S ribosomal RNA", at positions 50 to 154 of the family's 154-position model. The record is from RNAcentral.